This 254-nucleotide ribosomal RNA is filed under the name uncultured bacterium. RNAcentral describes it as "partial 16S ribosomal RNA". It matches the Rfam family "Bacterial small subunit ribosomal RNA", at positions 524 to 776 of the family's 1533-position model. The record is from RNAcentral.
CACGUAGGGGGCGAGCGUUGUCCGGAUUUAUUGGGCGUAAAGAGCUCGUAGGCGGCUCAGUAAGUCGGGUGUGAAAACUCCAGGCUCAACCUGGAGACGCCACCCGAUACUGCUGUGGCUAGAGUCCGGUAGGGGAGCAUGGAAUUCCUGGUGUAGCGGUGAAAUGCGCAGAUAUCAGGAGGAACACCGGUGGCGAAGGCGGGUCUCUGGGCAACAACUGACGCUGAGGAGCGAAAGCGUGGGGAGCGAACAGG